Picea glauca (white spruce) is the source of this 121-nucleotide non-coding RNA. The record is from Rfam. Lineage: Eukaryota; Viridiplantae; Streptophyta; Pinopsida; Pinales; Pinaceae.
ACAUGCCUACAACAUAUCAUUAAUGCACUGGAUCCCAUUAUAAAUUCAUAGUUAAGCACACUCAUGCUAGAGUAGUAUUGGGAUGGGUGACUCCCUGGGAAGUCCUAGUGUUUGACAUGCA